This 541-nucleotide ribosomal RNA is filed under the name Paraglaciecola chathamensis. RNAcentral's name for it is "partial 16S ribosomal RNA". It matches the Rfam family "Bacterial small subunit ribosomal RNA", at positions 56 to 596 of the family's 1533-position model. The record is from RNAcentral. Lineage: Bacteria; Pseudomonadati; Pseudomonadota; Gammaproteobacteria; Alteromonadales; Alteromonadaceae.
UGCAGUCGACGGUAACAUUUCUAGCUUGCUAGAAGAUGACGAGUGGCGGACGGGUGAGUAAUACUUAGGAAUAUGCCUUUGUGUGGGGGAUAACCAUUGGAAACGAUGGCUAAUACCGCAUAAYGUCUUCGGACCAAAGGGGGCYUUGGCUCCCGCGCAAAGAGUAGCCUAAGCGAGAUUAGCUUGUUGGUGAGGUAAAGGCUCACCAAGGCGACGAUCUCUAGCUGUUCUGAGAGGAAGAUCAGCCACACUGGAACUGAGACACGGUCCAGACUCCUACGGGAGGCAGCAGUGGGGAAUAUUGCACAAUGGGGGRAACCCUGAUGCAGCCAUGCCGCGUGUGUGAAGAAGGCCUUCGGGUUGUAAAGCACUUUCAGUUGUGAGGAAAGGUUAACGGUUAAUACCCGUUAGCUGUGACGUUAGCAACAGAAGAAGGACCGGCUAACUCCGUGCCAGCAGCCGCGGUAAUACGGAGGGUCCGAGCGUUAAUCGGAAUUACUGGGCGUAAAGCGCACGCAGGCGGUUUGUUAAGCUAGAUGUG